UAACCGUAGGGGAACCUGCGGUUGGAUCACCUCCUUACCUCAGAUACGCAUUGCGCAGUGUCCACACAGAUUGUCUGAUGAAUGUAAACGAGCAAGAGCACCUGUUGAUGAGGGUGAUGAUUGUGUUGUAAGGCCUCGGGAUUGAGUUUUUACUGCAUCAGUCGUUCGAAUGUGUCACCACAUUCUCACCUUUACACAAAAAUACUGAAUCCAUGAUUCAGUAGAAAUUUUUGUGUCCCCAUCGUCUAGAGGCCUAGGACACUGCCCUUUCACGGCUGUAACAGGGGUUCGAAUCCCUUGGGGACGCCACUCCGAUAAUGUGUGAAAGACAUUAUCAACCGGUUCUUUAUGAACUCAAAAGUAUCUUAAAGAUGACUUUAACAAGUCGUGUUUAAGAUAUUGCUCUUUAACAAUCUGGAACAAGCUGAAAAUUGAAACAAUACAGCUGAAACUUAUCUCUCCGUAGAAGUACUGAGAUAAGGAUUAACCUGUAUUAGAGUCUCUCAAAUAAUCGCAAUGCCAAUGUGUUUAUCAUUGUUGCAGUGUGAGCGAGAAGAUACUCAGCAAGGCGUACAGCGCACAGCAACCGGAGUGAACGCUACGUUCAUGAGGAUUGCGCGCACUGCACAACGACGCAGAGUGUGUUCGNAGCCACACCAAUAAAGAAGAAACAUCUUUGGGUUGUGA
This 687-nucleotide unclassified non-coding RNA is filed under the name Yersinia enterocolitica. Its description in RNAcentral is "intergenic spacer". The stretch from base 405 to 547 matches the Rfam family "Salmonella enterica Typhi npcRNA 44". Lineage: Bacteria; Pseudomonadati; Pseudomonadota; Gammaproteobacteria; Enterobacterales; Yersiniaceae. The record is from RNAcentral.